GAUGAAGAACGCAGCGAAACGCGCUAGUUAAUGUGAAUUGCAGAAUUCAGUGAAUCAUCGAGUCUUUGAACGCACAUUGCGCCCAUUGGUAUUCCGUUGGGCAUGUCUGUUUGAGCGUCAUUACAACAGUUCAGCGUAAGCUGGUUAUGAGUUCUGUUUUUUUAAACAAAAAACAGGCUUUAAAAUGUAUGUUCUGCAGGUCGCUUUGCUAAACCCUAAACAUUAAAUACUGUUCUAGUGAAGCAUUUGCGACUCUGCCUGAAAAAAAACUUUUGUUAAAGUUUGACCUCAGAUCAGACAAGGAUACCCGCUGAACUUAAGCAUAUCAAUAAGCGGAGGA
RNAcentral lists this unclassified non-coding RNA (340 nucleotides) under soil metagenome. Its description in RNAcentral is "partial contains 5.8S ribosomal RNA, internal transcribed spacer 2, and large subunit ribosomal RNA". The stretch from base 1 to 120 matches the Rfam family "5.8S ribosomal RNA", at positions 35 to 154 of the family's 154-position model. The record is from RNAcentral.